AAAAGGACUCAGGAUGCCAACACUGACCCACUCAGAGGGAGAAAGGAGACAUUCAGAAUUGGUCAUGGCUUUCCGGGAAGAUCAUCUGGAGACACCCCCUGGACCAAUGGCAUUUUCUCUCCCAAGUCUUAUGCCUCCCGAUGGCCUCAAGAGAUGAAGCUGAAUAGAGACAUUUCCCAAACCCAAGUCUGACCAGGAAGGCAAUGAGCCAGAACAGAAAAUAUCGAUGAGAAC
This 234-nucleotide long non-coding RNA is filed under the name Homo sapiens (human). RNAcentral describes it as "HSALNT0227567". The record is from RNAcentral. Lineage: Eukaryota; Metazoa; Chordata; Mammalia; Primates; Hominidae.